RNAcentral lists this ribosomal RNA (331 nucleotides) under uncultured bacterium. RNAcentral's name for it is "bacterial SSU rRNA". It matches the Rfam family "Bacterial small subunit ribosomal RNA", at positions 568 to 897 of the family's 1533-position model. The record is from RNAcentral.
CGUGUAGGCGGUCGGUUAAGUCUGAUGUGAAAGCCCGGGGCUUAACCUCGGAAGGGCGUUGGAAACUGGCCGACUUGAGUUCGGGAGAGGGAAGCGGAAUUCCGGGUGUAGAGGUGAAAUUCGUAGAUAUCCGGAGGAACACCGGUGGCGAAGGCGGCUUCCUGGACCGAAACUGACGCUGAGACGCGAAAGCGUGGGGAGCAAACAGGAUUAGAUACCCUGGUAGUCCACGCUGUAAACGAUGGGCACUAGGUGUGGGGGGUUUUUAAUCCCUCCGUGCCGCAGCUAACGCAUUAAGUGCCCCGCCUGGGGAGUACGGCCGCAAGGUUAA